RNAcentral lists this small RNA (107 nucleotides) under Marmota monax (woodchuck). The record is from RNAcentral. Lineage: Eukaryota; Metazoa; Chordata; Mammalia; Rodentia; Sciuridae.
GCUGGGCAUGGUGGGGCAUGCCCGUAAUCCCAGUGACUUGGGAGGCUGAGGCAGGAGGAUCUCAAGUUUUAGGCCAGCCUGGGAAACUUAGCAAGACUCUGCCUCAC